AACGAACGCUGGCGGCAUGCCUAACACAUGCAAGUCGAACGAGACCUUCGGGUCUAGUUGCGCACGGGUGCGUAACGCGUGGGAACCUGCCCUUAGGUUCGGAAUAACUCCCCGAAAGGGGUGCUAAUACCGGAUAAUGUCUUCGGACCAAAGAUUUAUCGCCUUUGGAUGGGCCCGCGUUGGAUUAGCUAGUUGGUAGGGUAAAAGCCUACCAAGGCGACGAUCCAUAGCUGGUCUGAGAGGAUGAUCAGCCACACUGGGACUGAGACACGGCCCAGAAUCCUACGGGAGGGAGCAGUGGGGAAUAUUGGACAAUGGGCGAAAGCCUGAUCCAGCAAUGCCGCGUGAGUGAUGAAGGCCUUAGGGUUGUAAAGCUCUUUUACCCGGGAUGAUAAUGACAGUACCGGGAGAAUAAGCACCGGCUAACUCCGUG
Molecule: ribosomal RNA, 433 nt
Filed under: uncultured bacterium
Lineage: Bacteria
Description: partial 16S ribosomal RNA
Rfam family: Bacterial small subunit ribosomal RNA
Source: RNAcentral